CCAGGAUGGAGGUGAAGGGCGGGACCCGGAGCGCAGAUGCACCCACUGGGCACUGGGCACGCGGACAGGGGCCCAGGAACGUGGUGUCGGAUGCAAGGAGGACUGCACAGGUGGCCACCUAGCCAGCCACCCCAAACUCUGUCAUAACCCAGCGUGAUGCCCACGCCCUCAAUCCCAGCACUUGGGAGGCUGAGGAAGGAGGAUCUCAAGUUCACACCCAGGCUGAACAAUUUAACAAGCAAUUUAAGACCCUGUCUAAAAAAGAAUUCAAGUGCUAGGUAGUGUAGCUCAGGGUCCAGGCGGGCCCUUCGGUCCUCCAGACCUUCAAAAACAACAAACACCAAAACACUUUCUUGGGGGUUCCACUUGAGCGUCUGUGGUCCCCACUCCUGCUAGUUCUGACUGGCAGUGUGGCCCGUUCGUUCUGGGUAGGCUGAUCCCGCGUCAGUCCUCCACACCUCAGCCUCUGUCCAGCAUCCCGCAGCCGCUGCCGUGAUCAGAUGGGGCAGAGCUCUUUGGUCCAACAUGCCACCACCUGACUCCUCGCCGGCCCCGGCAGCUUCCGUGUGUGGACGCUGUCCUGUCCCACCACUCCGCUGAGCCGAGGAGAGAGCGCUCCAGCCGUCACUGCGUGUAGAGUUUGGCCCCGACUGCAUCGUGGUGAAAUGUCUCCGUUUAAAAAUACUAAGCGAGCUGGACAUGCAAGCACAUGCUUGCCAUGCGAACUACCUCGGAGGCUGAGGCAGAAGAGUUCAACCCCAGCGGCGUGACUGAGUGAGACACUGUCUCAAAAACAGUUUUUUAAAGGGCCGGGGAUGUACGUCAGUGGUGAGCAUGGGGAUCUGGACGGGACGCUCUGGUACUGGAAAAGAUGGGCUCACUGUGUAGCCCAGGCUGGCCUCGAACUCAAGGCGAUCCUCCUGCCUCAGCUAACUGGUUGCUUGCUUUCCUGUGUGUGAAUUUGUCAUCAGGAGCAGUGCCCGUCCUCCCUUUAAUGCCCCCCCCCCGCCGCACCCCUGGGAACCGAACCAGCC
This 1034-nucleotide long non-coding RNA is filed under the name Heterocephalus glaber (naked mole-rat). RNAcentral's name for it is "lncRNA (ENSHGLG00000042128.1)". Lineage: Eukaryota; Metazoa; Chordata; Mammalia; Rodentia; Bathyergidae. The record is from RNAcentral.